Molecule: ribosomal RNA, 253 nt
Filed under: uncultured bacterium
Lineage: Bacteria
Description: partial 16S ribosomal RNA
Rfam family: Bacterial small subunit ribosomal RNA
Source: RNAcentral
UACGAAGGGUGCAAGCGUUAAUCGGAAUUACUGGGCGUAAAGCGCGCGUAGGUGGUUCAGUAAGUUGGAAGUGAAAUCCCCGGGCUCGACCUGGGAACUGCUUUCAAAACUGCUGAGCUAGAGUACGGUAGAGGGUGGUGGAAUUUCCUGUGUAGCGGUGAAAUGCGUAGAUAUAGGAAGGAACACCAGUGGCGAAGGCGACCACCUGGACUGAUACUGACACUGAGGUGCGAAAGCGUGGGGAGCAAACAGG